AUGGAAUAGUUUUGAACUCAAAAUGAAAAGAUUGAAGACAAAUUAUACUAGCCAUGGAGUUAAGAGUGAGAUCUGCUUUUGGUUUCCAAGGAAGAGAAAAAUGAUACAGAAGAUAUCAACAAUGGCAUAAUCUAAUUUAUAAGUUGGUAACAAAAAUCUCAAUGCUAAUCACUCCAAAACACUUGCAACCAUAUUCUGAUUAGCAGGAGUCACUAGUCAACCCUAGCUCCUGGGUUUGCUCGAUUUUUCACCUAAAAGUCUUAACACCACCAACAUGACAAUUCGAUAACUCAACUUUUCUUUAAAUUAUAAAUGUGAAUAUAAUAUCAACUUUGGUUUAGGAUGAAUUCAAAUGUGGAAUAUGCAUUCCGCACAUUAGAAAAGAAAAAAAAUUUCAUGGUGCAAACAAGGAUAUCUAGUUGCUAAU
RNAcentral lists this unclassified non-coding RNA (427 nucleotides) under Hevea brasiliensis (rubber tree). Lineage: Eukaryota; Viridiplantae; Streptophyta; Magnoliopsida; Malpighiales; Euphorbiaceae. The record is from RNAcentral.